CAGCCGCCGCGGUAAUACGAAGGGUGCAAGCGUUAAUCGGAAUUACUGGGCGUAAAGCGUGCGUAAGCGGUGAGUUAAGUCUGCUGUGAAAUCCCCGGGCUCAACCUGGGAAUGGCAGUGGAUACUGGCUCGCUAGAGUGUGUCAGAGGAUGGUGGAAUUCCCGGUGUAGCGGUGAAAUGCGUAGAGAUCGGGAGGAACAUCAGUGGCGGAGGCGGCCAUCUGGGACAACACUGACGCUGAGGCACGAAAGCGUGGGGAGCAAACAGGAUUAGAUACCCGCGUAGUCCCUGACUCUUAUAC
This 301-nucleotide ribosomal RNA is filed under the name uncultured bacterium. Its description in RNAcentral is "partial 16S ribosomal RNA". It matches the Rfam family "Bacterial small subunit ribosomal RNA", at positions 509 to 807 of the family's 1533-position model. The record is from RNAcentral.